This 449-nucleotide ribosomal RNA is filed under the name uncultured bacterium. RNAcentral's name for it is "bacterial SSU rRNA". It matches the Rfam family "Bacterial small subunit ribosomal RNA", at positions 330 to 793 of the family's 1533-position model. The record is from RNAcentral.
UCCAGACUCCUACGGGAGGCAGCAGUGGGGAAUAUUGGACAAUGGGGGGAACCCUGAUCCAGCGACGCCGCGUGAGUGAAGAAGUAUUUCGGUAUGUAAAGCUCUAUCAGCAGGGAAGAAAGAAAUGACGGUACCUGACUAAGAAGCCCCGGCUAACUACGUGCCAGCAGCCGCGGUAAUACGUAGGGGGCAAGCGUUAUCCGGAUUUACUGGGUGUAAAGGGAGCGUAGACGGUCCUGCAAGCCAGAUGUGAAAGCCCGGGGCCCAACCCCGGGACUGCAUUUGGAACUGUAAGGCUAGAGUGUCGGAGAGGCAGGCGGAAUUCCUAGUGUAGCGGUGAAAUGCGUAGAUAUUAGGAGGAACACCAGUGGCGAAGGCGGCCUGCUGGACGAUGACUGACGUUGAGGCUCGAAAGCGUGGGGAGCAAACAGGAUUAGAUACCCCAGUAU